GACGAACGCUGGCGGCGUGCCUAAUACAUGCAAGUAGAACGCAGUUGCGAACGGGUGAGUAACGCGUAGGUAACUGCCUCAUAGCGGGGGAUAACUAUUGGAAACGAUAGCUAAUACCCCAUACUGUGAGAUGGACCUGCUUUGUAUGAGCUAGGUUGUGAGGUAAAGGCUCACCAAGGCGCCGAUACAUACCCGCCCUGGGAGGGUGAGCUGCAACGCUGGGACUGGGACAAGGCACCGACUGCUACGGGUGGGAGCAGUAGGGAAUCUUCGGAAAUGGACGGAAGUCUGACCGAGCAACGCUGCGUGAGUGAAGGAGGUUUUCAGAUCGUAAAACUUUGUUGUGAGAGAAGCGGUAACUAACCAGAAAGGGACGGCUAACUACGUGCCAGCCGCCGCGGUAAUUC
Molecule: ribosomal RNA, 407 nt
Filed under: uncultured bacterium
Lineage: Bacteria
Description: partial 16S ribosomal RNA
Rfam family: Bacterial small subunit ribosomal RNA
Source: RNAcentral